AUUAUGCGGCUCUAAAUGUAGAGGUUGGAAACGACAAUAAUUUGGAGCUUCAUAGCCCGACAAGCUCAAGAUAUCAAAUAUAAGGAAAGACUGUUACUUCCCUAUAGUUAGUGCUGACCAUUUUCUUUCACAGCUCGUAUUUCACAGCCUUCGACAAAAACUUCCUCAAGCCAAAGCCACGUUGACGAUGAGGACUUUGGUCUUUUUGAUGCUGUGGAUCAGAAUGACUCUUCCGACAAUCACGCGGUAGAAAUCCAGAGAUCUCUCAUACGACGAACAGAGAACGAGGAUUGUCAUUCAGAGAACGGUAGAAGCACAAAAGCCAUAAAAGACACUGGACGAUUUAGAAGCUUUUAAAGAACGUGUAAUACGUGAAAGUUUGAUGGA
This is a long non-coding RNA of Selaginella moellendorffii, 387 nucleotides long. RefSeq lists it as uncharacterized. The record is from RefSeq and is a predicted model, not a curated record. The transcript has 3 exons. NCBI's taxonomy places the organism in Eukaryota, Viridiplantae, Streptophyta, Lycopodiopsida, Selaginellales, Selaginellaceae.